This 1516-nucleotide long non-coding RNA is filed under the name Populus trichocarpa (black cottonwood). Its description in RNAcentral is "long non-coding RNA (PTRI_LNC000431)". Lineage: Eukaryota; Viridiplantae; Streptophyta; Magnoliopsida; Malpighiales; Salicaceae. The record is from RNAcentral.
ACAUGUCCCUAGAUGAGAUCUCUCCCUUGACCUUUAGCAUUGGAAAUACCAUGAAGCGUAUAUCUGUCAUAGUCUCAUCCAUUAUCAUUUUCCACACACCCGUCCAGCCUGUCAAUGCUCUUGGAGCGGCCAUCGCUGUCCUUGGAACCUUCUUGUAUUCCCAGGUAAUUUUCCCGCUUCUCUUGAUGAAUUUAGUAUGACACUUCAUAAUUCACCUUUUUCACCCCUGAGAUCUUCAAAAAGACAUGCAUGCCCUUGAGACAAUUCUGUAUGCAACGUACUGAAAUUUUAUCUGUAUACAUUUUUCCCCUAUCAAUUGUCUGAAUGUUAACGAUGCCAAAUGGAAAGCUGAAAAUGCUUUCGGUGGGAAUAAGAUGUAUAUCACGGGCUCAUGAGAGAGUAUUCAUGUUGCAUCCUAAGCGUAAAAAGCUGCCUCCUCUAUACGUUUCAGAAAUAUCAGUCGCCUGCUUAAGAAAUAUACAAUACACAUACAAUAUAGCCGGACCACACUACCGAAUUAAUCUCAACUUACUCUUGGCAGUUAAUGCUUUUGAAUACAAAAGAAAGUUGAAUAUCAGAUGCAAGGGUAGUUGAACUCCUGAUCCAAGAUUUAGGGAACUGGCAUGUGCUUCUCCUCUGAUAAUUACAGAUAUGGGAGAUCGAUCUUUUACCUACAUCACGUGCACAAUGUGAUGAUUAGCUUCAGUUCAAGGGAAAUUUUACGACAACUUCAGUCAGCGUGCUAUAGUGACUUUGAGAGUUAUGUAAAAUUGGCAAUAAAUGGAUCGAGAUUUUACGGGAUUGUGUUUGACUGUUAGAUGCGGUAGGAAAUGUAAUUCCUGCACAUUUCUUUUCAUCAUCUAAUCUUGCAGCAUGGUAGUCACUGACAGUAGAGACGUCAACUGACUGCAGCAAGCAAGCACUUGAACAAGUUAAUGAUGGGGUUAGGUGUUAACUACCAAUUUUGAAAGCUGAUCGCCUAGGUGACGUAAUAUUUUUGGAGUUAGUUGACUUAAACAUUGUCUGUUAGUUAGGUUGGACCAUACAGAAUGCCUACCUAACAUUAAGAAUUUUGUAAGGUAGGUUCCUAUUAUUUAUUUCUCUUUGUGAAGACACAACGUUUUCAAUCUGUUCCUAGGUACACCUACUGUUUUUGUCUUGGAACAUUCUUGGUUUCUUCCUUCAGAGGAAGAGAUCUCUGCUUAAGAUUCUAAAUCUUGUUAACCCACUGGUAAACAUGAUUUAUCUAUGUAAUUUAAUCAUUUGUUUUGGUUUUUUGCAGGCUAAGCAGUGAUUGCACCAGACUUGGCAAUUUUAAACUCCUCAUGUAAUAUAUGAUGAGAGAACAAGCAUGUCGACAGCCGGAGACCUUCAGAUUAGGGUGGUGGUGUGUCAAUAACUAUCCGCCGGUUGAUAAUAAAAGACAAAUAAUGGAAGUCAUUAUAUAUUUAGUAGUUUUAGUUCUGUAUAUUUUUCAAGAAUAAUUGGCAGUACAUGGAAAUUGGAAUGAGUGAAG